AAAUUUGUCGUAAAAAUUGACGUUUUCUAAUCAAAUUUACGAAAAAACAAAAAUGGUGACCGCCAUUUUUUUUUAUUACAUAUUCCGAUGUAACUCGAUUCAAAGUACAAGUGUGCCAAAAAUUUAUGAAAUCGGGAGAUAUGCCAUUCGGUGUCGUGUUAUCUUGAAAUAUAAGUACAUAGUUUUGGAUUAUGAAGAAAAAUUGCCCACUUAGAGGGGAACACGAAACUGCAUUGAAAAUGAAAAAAAAUCUGGAGCAAAAUUAAACAUACAAAUCUAGGUUAGAAAAAGACACUACUUUUAAAAAAGAAAUAAAAAGAAUAAACAUUAAGAGAUACAAUCAUAAUAAUUUAGUAAAAUAAAAAAAGACGUAGAUAACUAGAAUGGCAUCUUCUAUGAGGGUGUGGAUGGAGUUUACAGAAUAGAGAAUAAUGGGCUAAAAAAAUAAAGAAUAGAAAAGAAAAGGAUAGGCCAAAAAUUUAAGAAUAGAGAAUAGUGGGCUUCUAGAAUAUAAAAAAAAUAGAGAAUAAUGGGCAAAAUUUAUAUAGAAUAGAGAAAAAAUGGC
This 565-nucleotide long non-coding RNA is filed under the name Mytilus galloprovincialis (Mediterranean mussel). The record is from RNAcentral. Lineage: Eukaryota; Metazoa; Mollusca; Bivalvia; Mytilida; Mytilidae.